GGAGUAGCUGGGCACUGGGGAGCCCACCGGACUGUAAAUCCGACGCUUAUAGCUGUGCUGGUUCAAUUCCAGCCUACUCCA
Molecule: transfer RNA, 81 nt
Filed under: Cohaesibacter gelatinilyticus
Lineage: Bacteria; Pseudomonadati; Pseudomonadota; Alphaproteobacteria; Hyphomicrobiales; Cohaesibacteraceae
Rfam family: tRNA
About the family: Transfer RNA (tRNA) molecules are approximately 80 nucleotides in length. Their secondary structure includes four short double-helical elements and three loops (D, anti-codon, and T loops).
Source: Rfam by way of RNAcentral